AUAAAAUAAAAUAAAUAACAACUCUCCUCUCCCCCGAAGACUCCACCCAUAUUUCCCAGGAUGAAGAUUCCCCACCCACCAAACAGAUCUUUAUUUAAUUUUAUUUUAUUUCAUGCUCUGUUGGUGCAAGGCAGUUUUCCCUCCUCUCCCCACCCUCUCUCCUUCCUUCUUCUAUUUAUUCCACCCCCCCAUCUCUAAUAUCAUUUUCACCCACCCACAGCGACGCCGCAUGCUUGUAAUUUUCUUCUGACCCUAAUGGCUCCGGUUUCCCCUCAGUAUUUAAGCGGAACAAGACAGAGCCGCCCCACCCUGUGUCCUGUGUGCCCAGAACUUGGACUCUCUCCCGUCUCCCCCUCCCUUGUCUCUUUGCACGGAAGACAAAUGGAGAUCCUGGAGGACAGGAAAGAAAGAUCAGGGAGGGAAAGAUUGCGGAGGGGAAGCCAUGUCACAGCAGAGCCGCAGAGAUGGGUGAAGUGUUUGCAGCUGCAGGUGAGAAGCGCACGCGGUCCUGCGUUAUCAGUGACACUCGCGAGGCCGUCUCUGCAUCAAAGACUCUGCAGUCCGGGGACUCCCGGGGCAGAGGGACCCAAGCGUAAAGUAGCUACACAGUUAAGAGCCUCCUUCACUCAAGCCGGUGUUCCUCACUCCGUCCAUUUACCAUAGGGGAGUGAACUUGAGGUUUCUUGGUGAGUUUGGACCGAGAGCCUCUGGAUGCUUCGUCCCGGAGAUAGGGCCUUGGGACAAAAAAAUGGAGAGACAGACACAGAAGGAAAGAGGAAGGCGGCGGGGGCGCAGCGGACCAGGCGGGGAGCGGGCCCUUCCGGGUCUUCGCGGCCGCGGGGGUCGGGGCGUGGAGCGGGGCUGAGGCUCGGUGCCCGGGUCCCGGGCGGAGGCGGCGGCGGCUUUGUUGGCGGCCGGCUCCGGGAGCAACCUUGAGCGCGGGCGCGGAGACAGUGAUUUAGGGGCUGGCAUUGAAGCGUGAAGGUAAAUGGCCACAUUUCACCGUCAGAAGGUGAGCGGGAGGCGCCCGCCCCUUCCCUUCCCCCAAGGCCCCGGGGUGGGGGGUGCGGGGGAUCGGCCUGUCGCGGGCACCCGCCGAGAUCCCGGCUGAAUCCCUGAGGCCCUGCGGCCGCAGCCGCCCCGGAGGAGGGAAGCCGGACGCCCAGCACUUCUUUCCUGACCCGUUCAUAUCUGGGGAAGUUAAGCGAUCUGGGGCCCGAAGCUGCUUCAGGGGAGAAUCUGAGAGGCAAAGGCCCACAGCCCGGGGACCUGAGGGACCCUCUGCUGGUCAGGACGGGGUGCGGGAGGCAGCUUAACUCUUCACAGGGGUCCUGAGGUCUGGUCGGCCUUCUGCUCACAGUGCAGAUGUGGAAACAGAGGCUCAGGAGGUUAAGUGACCUGCUGCAGACCCUGCAUCUGGGGAGGGAUGAGCAGGGAGGGAUCUAGGUCUGCGGGACCCCCCAGCCUGUGUCACUGAACCCUAAACCCCCAGCAGGUUGCCUCCAAGAGCUCUGGGAUCUGGGCACUGGGUGUGGGGGAGCUUGUGGGUGCAGGAAGUGUCGGCAUCCAGCAACCUCCUGCUGUUUUGAAAAUAAUACAGGAAAAUAAUCAUGAAAAUAACUUCUGCUCUUCAUGUUCCGAGGUGGCUGAGACAGAAAAGAAU
Long non-coding RNA from Bos indicus x Bos taurus (hybrid cattle), 1663 nucleotides. The record is from Ensembl. NCBI's taxonomy places the organism in Eukaryota, Metazoa, Chordata, Mammalia, Artiodactyla, Bovidae.